GGGGAAGGGACGUCUCUGUUGAGCCGGGAUUUGGGCCCCUGUCCCCGACAGACCCAUCAAGUGCGAGAUGACUGUGCGCAGGAACUUGAAGCUAAGCCGCAGAGAUAGAUAUUAAAUAACGGACCCCAAAUCAACAGGCUGGCUUCUAGGGUGUGAAGUGCAUGGUCCCCUUGCCGGACAUUUUCCACAGGCCUCAUAAGAGACAUCACUGCGGGAAAAUGGAUGGGACUGCAUCAGAAACUUUCUUUCUCCAAGUUUUCUCACCGUAAAGUCACAGCACUUCUCCAAGCCUCACU
Long non-coding RNA from Balaenoptera acutorostrata (minke whale), 296 nucleotides. RefSeq lists it as uncharacterized. NCBI's taxonomy places the organism in Eukaryota, Metazoa, Chordata, Mammalia, Artiodactyla, Balaenopteridae. The record is from RefSeq and is a predicted model, not a curated record. The transcript is spliced from 3 exons.